AAGGUACUAAAGACGAUAUAUAUAAGCAACGAUUACGGUACGCAGUUCCGGGGACUCCACAGACCACUCCCCUAGCCCCAUUAGGGCAGGCUAGGCACAGUAAACCACAAAAGACAAACCGACCACGCGACAGUAACCCAAAAGAUAAACUAGCUCUAGGACUCGGAUAGCAAGCAAAUGCACACGCCUAGUCGACCUCCUCCAUCUUGCUCUCGCCGGCGUCCUCCUCCAACGGCGGCAUGUCCGUGUCAGCCUCAGCAGCCUCCUCGUCCUCGUCGAUGCUCAGGCCCAGCUUGAGCAUGCGGUGGAUCCUGGUGCCGAAGGUGUUGGGGUCGUCAAGGCUGAAGCCCGAGGUGAGCAGGGAGGUCUCGAACAGCAGCAUCACCAGGUCCUUGACAGACUUGUCGUUCUUGUCCACGUCGGCGCGCUUGCGCAGCUCCUCCAUGAUGGCGUUCUCUGGGUUGAUCUCCAUCGUCUUCUUGCUCGACAUGUAGCCGCCCAUGCUC
Molecule: long non-coding RNA, 506 nt
Filed under: Triticum aestivum (bread wheat)
Lineage: Eukaryota; Viridiplantae; Streptophyta; Magnoliopsida; Poales; Poaceae
Description: long non-coding RNA (TAES_LNC017804)
Source: RNAcentral